This 25-nucleotide non-coding RNA is filed under the name Cricetulus griseus (Chinese hamster). Lineage: Eukaryota; Metazoa; Chordata; Mammalia; Rodentia; Cricetidae. The record is from RNAcentral.
UGAGUAUGUUUAGAUUUUAGAUUCU